CAACUGUGGAUUUGUAUGCAUAUAUUCAGACGAAAUAUGAACAACAGUUACCUUGGAGUCUCAGUGUUGGGUUUCCAGGUGGAGAAUCAGCUACCUUGGAGCUUAUCAACUUUAGAAGCCACUUAUAUUUCUUUAAGCAACAUUAGAAACAAAAACUAAUUAGAGAAGUUGGAUAAUGCUCUACUUGGAGAUUCCCAUAG
This 200-nucleotide unclassified non-coding RNA is filed under the name Hevea brasiliensis (rubber tree). The record is from RNAcentral. Lineage: Eukaryota; Viridiplantae; Streptophyta; Magnoliopsida; Malpighiales; Euphorbiaceae.